GCUACGGCCAUACCAGCCUGUGUACGCCCGAUCUCGUCUGAUCUCGGAAGCUAAGCAGGGUCGGGCCUGGUUAGUACUUGGAUGUGAGACCGCCUGGGAAUACCAGGUGCUGUAAGCA
This 118-nucleotide ribosomal RNA is filed under the name Salmo salar (Atlantic salmon). Lineage: Eukaryota; Metazoa; Chordata; Actinopteri; Salmoniformes; Salmonidae. The record is from RNAcentral.